UAUAUCAGUACUUUAUCUUUAUCAGUCCAGACAAGACGACACGUUGGUUUGUUUAUUUAUUUUCUGUAAUUUGAACUGAUUUUGUCGAAAAUAACAAUAACGAUACAUCCGAUACAUUAAUGGCAUCAAUACAUUUCAAUUAGUUUAUGGAGAAAUAAAAUCGGACAUCCUUUUAGUAUGUGGUUGUAUGAUCUAAUGUUGAGAUGUUUCAGAACCGUGUUAUUUAUACUACCAUUCGCUGUACGACGAUUCAUUGUAAAAACAACGUUAAUCUUACCGCUCUCGUUGGCUAGAUUUUUCUUGAACAUUGGGACACGGCCAAUCGGUGAUGAACAUAAAUGGAUUCAAAAAAUUGAACAGAAAACAUGGAAAGGGGUGUGGAUUGUUCCAAACUUGACUUCAUUGGAACAGGCGGAAGAUGUAGCAUCGAACAGUGAUUUAGUUGUCUUUUACGCUCAUGGUGGCGGCUACUGCAACGGAGAUUCAAAGAUGUACAUGGAAACUUUCCAGUUAAUUAUAAACCAUCUGCGAAAUGAACACAAUAUUCGAGCGAGUAUUUUGUCGUUAGAAUACAGCCUCAGUCCCGAACAUGUUUGGCCAAAGGCACGCGAUGAAGCGAUGGAAGCGUAUCAGUACUUGACUGAUACAAUGGGCAUUCCGUCAUCGAAAAUCAUUUUUGCGGGUGACAGUGCAGGAGCAAAUUUAGUUGCAGUUACAUUAUUGACAAUCAAAACCGAAAAACAUCGAUCACAACCAGCUGGAGCGGCACUAUUUUCGCCGUGGGUUGACCUUACAAUAAACCAGGCCAGUUCUGCUUCUAACACGAAUGAUUACUUGAAUUCACGCCAAACAGCAAAGUUUGUGGGAUACUAUGUACCAAACUUUAAAAAUUUGGACGAAGCGUCCAGACUUUCGAUGAUACGAAAUCCACUUAUAUCCCCAUUGUAUGGUGAUUUUAGCCGUACUUGUCCCAUGUUCAUUGCGUAUGGGGAAAAAGAGUUUCUCAGGCCAAGUAUUGAAAAAUUUUUGUUCAACUUGGAGGAGGAUGGAGUGAGUGUGACCAUAUUGAAAGGAACAAACGCCCUGCAUGUGUGGCUGGUUUAUAGUUUGGUGGCUUCAACCAAAGAAGUUUUUGAAAAGGAUUGUAAAAUAUCUAUCGAUUGGAUGGCGUCUAUUGUCGCCACAGCAUCCAAUGUUGCAUCGACUGAUGUUACAUCGAUAGAUGGAAGUGAAUUUAUAAGUUAAGUGCGUUAAAUGACAAUCGCCGCAAUUCUAUCUAUAUAUUGCACGGUAGCCACUGAUAAUACACUAGCCGCAUUUCGAUGCAACAAUACCGUUUACGAUCAAAUAUCUACAUUAAAAACGUAUCAACGCGUAAUUAAUAAUACUUUGCUCCCGGUCAUUUCGUUUCGGGUUACCCAAACCAGAAAGAAUUAGUUCGGGCUGAACCCGAAAUCGAAAGUUUCAGGUUCGGGUCAACUUUCGUUCGAACCUAAAAUCUCAGUCUUAGUUUAGGGUCGGGCUGAAAUCCGGUUUGGGUGAACCUGAAUUGAAACAGAUUGAACCCAAUCCAAGUCUUAUUAUGGCGUAAAAACUACGUAUUCAGUUCAUAAUUACACUAUAGAAAAAUAGAGAAAAGCAUUUUUCAGAUUAAAUUGUAAUCGUUCAUUCGUUAUGAACAUUUUUUCUAAGAUCACCAAGUGUAAUUACUUUUACAAAUUGAUUUAAUUCACUGGUUCUUACUAGCAUUUGAUUAAUGGCACCAAUAUUGACGAAUAAAAGCGACUUUGCUUCGUAAAUGAUUUAAACGUCUUGUUUCUAUAAAUAAAGACAUGCGCGUUUCUUAUAUUCACAUUUAUUAUCAGUAUUUUAUGUUUAUCAGUCCCAACAAGACGACACGUUUGUUUUUUUUUAUACUCAGUUGUACUGAUUUCGUCGAAAAUAACAAUAACUAGAUGCACUAAUUGCAUCAAUACGCUUCGACCUGUUAAUAGAAGACUACUCCAGACAUCAUUAAAAUGUGCUUAUACACUGCAAUAUUGCGAUAUCUCAGAAAUUUGCUACGUCUGUUACCAUUCUCUGUGCGACGAUUCAUUGUAAGAACAACAUUAAGCUCACCGCUCUGGUUGUCCAGACUUAUUUUGAACAUUGGCACAAGGCCAAUCGGUGAUGAAAGUAAAUGGAUUCACAAAAUUGAAAAGAAAACGUGGAAAGGAGUGUGGAUUGCUCCCAACUUGACUUCACUGGAACAGGCCGAAAAUGUGGCCGUGGACAGUGAUUUAGUUGUGUUUUACGCUCAUGGUGGCGGUUACUGUAAAGGAAACUCAAGAAUGUACAUGGAAACUUUCCAGUUAAUUAUAAACCAUCUGCGACUCGAACACAAUAUUCGAGCGAGUAUUUUGUCAUUAGAAUACAGCCUCAGUCCUGAACAUGUUUGGCCAAAGGCACGUGACGAAGCAAUGGAAGCGUAUCAGUACUUGACUGAUACUAUCGGCAUUCCAUCAUCCAAAAUCAUUUUUGCGGGUGACAGUGCAGGAGGGAAUUUGAUGGCAGUCACCUUAUU
Bradysia coprophila is the source of this 2563-nucleotide unclassified non-coding RNA. The record is from RefSeq and is a predicted model, not a curated record. Lineage: Eukaryota; Metazoa; Arthropoda; Insecta; Diptera; Sciaridae.